UGGGGAAUUUUGGACAAUGGGCGCAAGCCUGAUCCAGCCAUGCCGCGUGCGGGAAGAAGGCCUUCGGGUUGUAAACUGCUUUUGUACGGAACGAAAAGACUCCUUCUAAUAAAGGGGGUCCAUGACGGUACCGUAAGAAUAAGCACCGGCUAACUACGUGCCAGCAGCCGCGGUAAUACGUAGGGUGCGAGCGUUAAUCGGAAUUACUGGGCGUAAAGCGUGCGCAGGCGGUUAUGCAAGACAGAGGUGAAAUCCCCGGGCUCAACCUGGGAACUGCCUUUGUGAGUGCAUAGCUAGAGUACGGUAGAGGGGGAGGGAAUUCCGCGUGUAGCAGUGAAAUGCGUAGAUAUGCGGAGGAACACCGAUGGCGAAGGCAAUCCCCUGGACCUGUACUGACGCUCAUGCACGAAAGCGUGGGGGGCAAACA
This 427-nucleotide ribosomal RNA is filed under the name uncultured bacterium. Its description in RNAcentral is "bacterial SSU rRNA". It matches the Rfam family "Bacterial small subunit ribosomal RNA", at positions 355 to 774 of the family's 1533-position model. The record is from RNAcentral.